UUCCUUUAUCUCCAAAGACUUCCU
RNAcentral lists this non-coding RNA (24 nucleotides) under Arabidopsis thaliana (thale cress). The record is from RNAcentral. Lineage: Eukaryota; Viridiplantae; Streptophyta; Magnoliopsida; Brassicales; Brassicaceae.